GUGGCAGUCCUGACAGGGUUAAACUCCGAGCAGUGAGCUUCAUCCGUGUGACUCCACAUAGAACGAUGCUGGUUCCUACCGACAGCUGCCUACAAGGCAUUGGGUUACCUGUGCGAUGGUUCCAUACACU
Molecule: non-coding RNA, 130 nt
Organism: Synchiropus splendidus (mandarinfish)
Lineage: Eukaryota; Metazoa; Chordata; Actinopteri; Syngnathiformes; Callionymidae
Source: RefSeq, a predicted model, not a curated record